Diceros bicornis minor is the source of this 762-nucleotide long non-coding RNA. RefSeq lists it as uncharacterized. The transcript has 3 exons. NCBI's taxonomy places the organism in Eukaryota, Metazoa, Chordata, Mammalia, Perissodactyla, Rhinocerotidae. The record is from RefSeq and is a predicted model, not a curated record.
CCCGGCAGACCUGGAAUCAAGCAGACCUGGAAUCAAGCUGGCUCUGCACCUACUGCUGCGUGAUCUUGGGCUAGUCAUCCAGCCUUUCUGGUCUCACGUUCCUGUCUGUGCAAUGGGUGCUCGUGCCUGCUCCGGAGAGGUGCUGAAAUGGCCCUCUGUCGGGAGCCAGGGACCCCAGAGAGGAAUGAGAUGUAGCUGCUGUCCCAUGUAAAGGACUGUCGGGGAAGACGGAAUUCAUGUUCUCUCGAGAUCCUGAAGGAGAGGGAGAGGUGGUUUGGCAGAAGAGAACCACUAAAGCUUCACGAAGAGGCAGCACUGUGCUGACCUGGAAUGUGGUGGCAUUCACAGCCCCUCCCGGGACCCAGCUCCCCGCGGUGAUGUGCACGCAGAACUGUUGGCGCUCACUUCAGAGGAAAGCUGUGUCUCGAAUUCCUGUUGUCCUGUCCUCCGUUUUAACUGUGGAUCUGAAAUAAACAUUGGUAGCAUAGUUCUGUGUGACAGUUUGGAGUUUUUAUUUGUUUAAAAUUUUUCAACUGGGAAAAUAUUUGAAUGUGGCUAGACUCAAUCCCAAAGAAACAGACAUGGACAGUAUUGCAAUUUCUGGAAUUUAUUGUGGAAUGGACUUUUUCUGAAUUUCUGCCAAACUUAUCCUUAUGUUUAAGGCUUUCUCUAUUGUUUGUGAAUCUAUUGCUUCAUGUGAGAAAAAAAAUUUCAAAUAAAAAAUAUUCUUUGGCCAACUACAAUUGAAGAUAAAUUGACAAA